Molecule: long non-coding RNA, 655 nt
Filed under: Nicotiana benthamiana
Lineage: Eukaryota; Viridiplantae; Streptophyta; Magnoliopsida; Solanales; Solanaceae
Description: long non-coding RNA (NBEN_LNC036490)
Source: RNAcentral
GAAGUUCUUGGAGGAAAGGAUGCCGGGGGUCUAUUUGGAAACAGUCUCUCUACCCAAGGGUAGGGGUAAGGUCUGCGUACACACUACCCUUCCCAAAUCUGACUAAGUGAAAUUAUACUGGAUUGUUCUUGUUGUGGUAGUUGCAGAUGUUUGAAUAUCUUUUAAGCGGUAAAUUGAAACUACUAAUGGUUCUAUGUUUUUCCAAAGCUUCAUUAUAACACUAUCAAUCCUUUAAAUAAACGGUUUUAUUGUUCAAUAUGCUAAACUUUUCCCUCACCUUGGACAUUAGAUGAUUUUCUAUUUUUACAGCUUGACAUGAAUUUAAUGAGCUAAUAUGUCCUUUUUUUGGUCUAACUUCUUAGGUUCACAAGUUUUCUAUAUAUUUGAAGAAUAUAAAGGUUUGUUUCAUAUUUGGAGGAUAGGUUUGCACACUCUAGAUCGAAUAAGAUUGUUCUGGUACGACGUUACAAAUUGACUCCCAUACUUCCAGCUCAUUCUACAGUAAUCUUCUAUAUAGCAAAUAUUUGUGAGAGGGAUAAUUAAUUCAUCAUGAUACUGGAGAUGAAUGAGUAAAGUAUAAAGAUUUUAGUGGCAAUUUUAAUAUGAUCUCUUGUCACUUAGAUUUACAAGAAACCUAUAUCGUAUAUAAUUAAAG